GCUCGCACCAGCACCUCUCCGCUCCCGCACCGCCCAGCAGCAGCCAUGGUGUCCACCGCCCGCAAAGCCGCACUCGCCGCUCUCAUGUCGCUGUCCGUGCUGCUGGCCACGUGCGACGCGCAGCUGCAGUUCCGCGACUCCAAGCCGAAGAGGGGCAUCGCCUCCCUGGGCUACGGACUACCAGGCGUGGCUGUACCAGCAGCGGGCUCCCUGGUGGCGCCGUACAACUACUUCUUCAG
Long non-coding RNA from Schistocerca cancellata (South American locust), 239 nucleotides. RefSeq lists it as uncharacterized. NCBI's taxonomy places the organism in Eukaryota, Metazoa, Arthropoda, Insecta, Orthoptera, Acrididae. The transcript is spliced from 3 exons. The record is from RefSeq and is a predicted model, not a curated record.